CUCUGUGACUCCUACGGGAGGCAGCAGUGGGGAAUAUUGCACAAUGGGGGAAACCCUGAUGCAGCCAUGCCGCGUGUGUGAAGAAGGCCUUCGGGUUGUAAAGCACUUUCAGUAGGGAGGAAGGUAGUGUAGUUAACACCUGCACUAUUUGACGUUACCUACAGAAGAAGCACCGGCUAACUCCGUGCCAGCAGCCGCGGUAAUACGGAGGGUGCGAGCGUUAAUCGGAAUUACUGGGCGUAAAGCGCAUGCAGGCGGCCUGUUAAGUCAGAUGUGAAAGCCCGGGGCUUAACCUCGGAAUUGCAUUUGAAACUGGCAGGCUAGAGUCUUGUAGAGGGGGUAGAAUUUCAGGUGUAGCGGUGAAAUGCGUAGAGAUCUGAAGGAAUACCAGUGGCGAAGGCGGCCCCCUGGACAGAUACUGACACUCAGAUGCGAAAGCGUGGGGAGCAAACAGGAUUAGAUACCCUGGUAG
RNAcentral lists this ribosomal RNA (472 nucleotides) under uncultured bacterium. RNAcentral describes it as "bacterial SSU rRNA". It matches the Rfam family "Bacterial small subunit ribosomal RNA", at positions 328 to 793 of the family's 1533-position model. The record is from RNAcentral.